This 3114-nucleotide ribosomal RNA is filed under the name Mycobacterium sp. 852002-10029_SCH5224772. RNAcentral's name for it is "bacterial LSU rRNA". It matches the Rfam family "Bacterial large subunit ribosomal RNA". Lineage: Bacteria; Bacillati; Actinomycetota; Actinomycetes; Mycobacteriales; Mycobacteriaceae. The record is from RNAcentral.
GUAAGUGUUUAAGGGCGCAUGGUGGAUGCCUUGGCAUCGAGAGCCGAUGAAGGACGUAGGAGGCUGCGAUAUGCCUCGGGGAGCUGCCAACCGAGCAUUGAUCCGAGGAUUUCCGAAUGGGGAAACCCAGCACGAGUGAUGUCGUGUUACCCGCAUCUGAAUAUAUAGGGUGCGGGAGGGAACGCGGGGAAGUGAAACAUCUCAGUACCCGUAGGAGAAGAAAACAAUUGUGAUUCCGUAAGUAGUGGCGAGCGAACGCGGAACAGGCUAAACCGCACGCAUGUGAUACCGGGUAGGGGUUGUGUGUGCGGGGUUGUGGGAGGAUACAUCUCAGCUCUACCUGGCUGAGGGGUAGUCAGAAAGUGUCGUGGUUAGCGGAAGUGGCCUGGGAUGGUCUGCCGUAGACGGUGAGAGCCCGGUACGCGAAAACCUGUCACCUACCUUGUAUCAAUUCCCGAGUAGCAGCGGGCCCGUGGAAUCUGCUGUGAAUCUGCCGGGACCACCCGGUAAGCCUAAAUACUUCUCGAUGACCGAUAGCGGAUUAGUACCGUGAGGGAAUGGUGAAAAGUACCCCGGGAGGGGAGUGAAAUAGUACCUGAAACCGUGUGCCUACAAUCCGUCAGAGCCUCCUUGUGGGGUGAUGGCGUGCCUUUUGAAGAAUGAGCCUGCGAGUCAGGGACACGUCGCGAGGUUAACCCGUGCGGGGUAGCCGCAGCGAAAGCGAGUCUGAAUAGGGCGCAUCCCCUUUUGGGGUGUAGUGGCGUGUUCUGGACCCGAAGCGGAGUGAUCUACCCAUGGCCAGGGUGAAGCGCGGGUAAGACCGCGUGGAGGCCCGAACCCACUUAGGUUGAAGACUGAGGGGAUGAGCUGUGGGUAGGGGUGAAAGGCCAAUCAAACUCCGUGAUAGCUGGUUCUCCCCGAAAUGCAUUUAGGUGCAGCGUUACGUGGUUCACCACGGAGGUAGAGCUACUGGAUGGCCGAUGGGCCCUACUAGGUUACUGACGUCAGCCAAACUCCGAAUGCCGUGGUGUAAAGCGUGGCAGUGAGACGGCGGGGGAUAAGCUCCGUACGUCGAAAGGGAAACAGCCCAGAUCGCCGGCUAAGGCCCCUAAGCGUGUGCUAAGUGGAAAAGGAUGUGCAGUCGCAAAGACAACCAGGAGGUUGGCUUAGAAGCAGCCACCCUUGAAAGAGUGCGUAAUAGCUCACUGGUCAAGUGAUUGUGCGCCGAUAAUGUAGCGGGGCUCAAGCACACCGCCGAAGCCGCGGCACAUUCACCGUACGGUGGGUGUGGGUAGGGGAGCGUCCCUCAUUCAGCGAAGCCUCCGGGUAACCGGUGGUGGAGGAUGGGGGAGUGAGAAUGCAGGCAUGAGUAGCGAUAAGGCAAGUGAGAACCUUGCCCGCCGUAAGACCAAGGGUUCCUGGGCCAGGCCAGUCCGCCCAGGGUGAGUCGGGACCUAAGGCGAGGCCGACAGGCGUAGUCGAUGGACAACGGGUUGAUAUUCCCGUACCCGUGUAUGGGCGUCCCUGAUGAAUCAGCGGUACUAACCACCCAAAACCGGAUCGACCGUUCCCCUUCGGGGGCACGGAGUUUCGGGGCUGCGUGGGACCUUCGUUGGUAGUAGUCAAGCGAUGGGGUGACGCAGGAAGGUAGCCGUACCAGUCAGUGGUAAUACUGGGGCAAGCCUGUAGGGAGAGCGAUAGGCAAAUCCGUCGCUCAUUAAUCCUGAGAGGUGAUGCAUAGCCGAUUGAGGUGAAUUCGGUGAUCCUCUGCUGCCAAGAAAAGCCUCUAGCGAGCACAUACACGGCCCGUACCCCAAACCAACACAGGUGGUCAGGUAGAGAAUACCAAGGCGUACGAGAUAACUAUGGUUAAGGAACUCGGCAAAAUGCCCCCGUAACUUCGGGAGAAGGGGGGCCGGAAUACCGUGAACACCCUUGCGGUGGGAGCGGGAUUCGGCCGCAGAAACCAGUGGGUAGCGACUGUUUACUAAAAACACAGGUCCGUGCGAAGUCGCAAGACGAUGUAUACGGACUGACGCCUGCCCGGUGCUGGAAGGUUAAGAGGACCCGUUAACCGCAAGGUGAAGCGGAGAAUUUAAGCCCCAGUAAACGGCGGUGGUAACUAUAACCAUCCUAAGGUAGCGAAAUUCCUUGUCGGGUAAGUUCCGACCUGCACGAAUGGCGUAACGACUUCCCAACUGUCUCAACCAUAGACUCGGCGAAAUUGCACUACGAGUAAAGAUGCUCGUUACGCGCGGCAGGACGAAAAGACCCCGGGACCUUCACUACAACUUGGUAUUGGUGUUCGGUACGGUUUGUGUAGGAUAGGUGGGAGACUGUGAAAUACAGACGCCAGUUUGUAUGGAGUCAUUGUUGAAAUACCACUCUGAUCGUAUUGGACACCUAACGUCGAACCCUUAUCGGGUUCACGGACAGUGCCUGGCGGGUAGUUUAACUGGGGCGGUUGCCUCCUAAAAUGUAACGGAGGCGCCCAAAGGUUCCCUCAACCUGGACGGCAAUCAGGUGUUGAGUGUAAGUGCACAAGGGAGCUUGACUGCGAGACUUACAAGUCAAGCAGGGACGAAAGUCGGGACUAGUGAUCCGGCACCCCCGAGUGGAAGGGGUGUCGCUCAACGGAUAAAAGGUACCCCGGGGAUAACAGGCUGAUCUUCCCCAAGAGUCCAUAUCGACGGGAUGGUUUGGCACCUCGAUGUCGGCUCGUCGCAUCCUGGGGCUGGAGCAGGUCCCAAGGGUUGGGCUGUUCGCCCAUUAAAGCGGCACGCGAGCUGGGUUUAGAACGUCGUGAGACAGUUCGGUCUCUAUCCGCCGCGCGCGUCAGAAACUUGAGGAAACCUGUCCCUAGUACGAGAGGACCGGGACGGACGAACCUCUGGUAUACCAGUUGUUCCACCAGGAGCACGGCUGGAUAGCCACGUUCGGACAGGAUAACCGCUGAAAGCAUCUAAGCGGGAAACCUUCUCCAAGAUCAGGUUUCUCACCCUUUUAGAGGGAUAAGGCCCCCCGCAGACCACGGGAUCGAUAGGUCAGACCUGGAAGCUCAGUAAUGAGUGCAGGGAACUGGCACUAACCGGCCGAAAACUUACCAACACACAA